AUUGAACGCUGGCGGCAGGCCUAACACAUGCCAGUCGAGCGGAUGAAGGGAGCUUGCUCCUGGAUUCAGCGGCGGACGGGUGAGUAAUGCCUAGGAAUCUGCCUGGUAGUGGGGGAUAACGUCCGGAAACGGGCGCUAAUACCGCAUACGUCCUGAGGGAGAAAGUGGGGGAUCUUCGGACCUCACGCUAUCAGAUGAGCCUAGGUCGGAUUAGCUAGUUGGUGGGGUAAAGGCCUACCAAGGCGACGAUCCGUAACUGGUCUGAGAGGAUGAUCAGUCACACUGGAACUGAGACACGGUCCAGACUCCUACGGGAGGCAGCAGUGGGGAAUAUUGGACAAUGGGCGAAAGCCUGAUCCAGCCAUGCCGCGUGUGUGAAGAAGGUCUUCGGAUUGUAAAGCACUUUAAGUUGGGAGGAAGGGCAGUAAGUUAAUACCUUGCUGUUUUGACGUUACCAACAGAAUAAGCACCGGCGAACUGCGU
This 483-nucleotide ribosomal RNA is filed under the name uncultured bacterium. Its description in RNAcentral is "partial 16S ribosomal RNA". It matches the Rfam family "Bacterial small subunit ribosomal RNA", at positions 30 to 506 of the family's 1533-position model. The record is from RNAcentral.